UUUUAAAAUAAUCCACUUCUUCCCAUUAAACAAAAAGUGCCUUGAGAUUGGAUCCAAGUUUUGUUUUUUUCUUCUAACUUCCAACAUUUCAUAUUGAGCACAGGACUUCAGGACUUCAUUUUCAUUGGUGCUUCAGAAACAUCACUUACUGGUAAAGAUAAAUGAGAAGUAUUCAGUUAUGAAUAAGUUGUCAGAGAUGUCUCUCAUGUGUGAGAUGGUUCCAUUUCCCAAGGAUUUCUCUCAUUUCUGUAGUAGCGUGUAUGACAGCCCAUAUGGAGUCUACAACUAGAAUCCAGACUGUGUAUGCAAUACGGAGAUAGAUGUCCCACACCUACUUCCUGGUUUUGGAACAUGAGGAAAUCACUCAAUUGGACUGUAAAAAUUUAAAUCUGUAUUUGUUUAAUCAUGCAGAAUAUUUAUUUUUAAUCUUAUUAUUUAAAAAAUAAAACAGAUACAAAAGGCCAGGCACGGAACAGAUACAAAAGACACAUGAAACAAAUGUAUAGCCUAAUGAAUUAUUACAUGUCCAACUUUCUUAUAACCAACACCAAAGUCAAGAAAUAGAACUAGGACAGUUAUCCCGGAAGCCCCUCCACAUAUCCUGUCUCAAUUAUAGUCCCUUCCCUCCAUCCUUACCCUCCCAUCCCAAGAAAUCACUGUCCCGACUUUUAUAGCAGUGGUUCUCAAAGUGUCUAGAAUCUUGAUAGAAAAGCAAAUUAUUGGGCCCCAUCACAGACCUAAGAAAUAAAAAACUCUUGGAGUGGAGCCCAGCAAUCCAUGUUUUAAAUUUUUUUCCAGGUGAUUCUCAUGAAAACUUAAAGCUUGAGAACCACUGUUUUAGAGGAAUCACUUCCUUCUGUUUCUUUGUCAUUUUAUUACUAAAGUAUGCACUCUUAAACACUGUAGUUUAUUCCUGCCCAUUUAAAAAAUUUCAUUUAAGUCUCUUUCAAUAUAAAGUUUUCCCCUUCAGCCCCUUCUUUUCCUUACAAUUUACCUGUUAAAGAAUCCAGGCUGUUUGACCUGUAUCAUUUUCCACAGUUUGGCCUUUGCUGAGUGUAUACUCAUGGUGCAGUUCAACAGAUGCUUCUCUCCUCUAUUUCCUGCAAAUUGGCAGCUGGAUCCAGAGGUUAAUUGGACUUCAGUUUGAUCUCACUGGCAAGACUACAGGUGAUGUUCUGUUUUUUCAAUCAGGAGGCACAUGUUUGUCUGUCUGUGAUGUUAGAAACUGUUGAUAAUGCCUAAAUCCAUUAAUUUAUUGGGGGUUACAAAGUGGUGAUGUUCUAAUUCUAUCAUUUCUUUUUCAUUUUUCAUUAUUAGCUAAAAUCGUUUUUUGUUGGGUUUUUUUUUUUUUUUUUUUUUUUUUUUUUU
RNAcentral lists this long non-coding RNA (1368 nucleotides) under Homo sapiens (human). Its description in RNAcentral is "non-protein coding lnc-SIPA1L1-1:2". The record is from RNAcentral. Lineage: Eukaryota; Metazoa; Chordata; Mammalia; Primates; Hominidae.